Molecule: non-coding RNA, 6437 nt
Organism: Python bivittatus (Burmese python)
Lineage: Eukaryota; Metazoa; Chordata; Lepidosauria; Squamata; Pythonidae
Source: RefSeq, a predicted model, not a curated record
GACAAGAGGUCUGGAGCCGAAGGUGAUAGAAGUUGCGAGAUGGAAGAAGGGGAUUUCCGAAUUGCAUAUUGGGGUGGAAAAAAAUGUUAGGCAAACCUUCGUUUGCAAGAUUUACAGCAUCGUCAUCCUCCAAUUACUACUGACUGUGGCAAUUGUUGCCGUCUUCAUCUUUGUGACUCCUGUGAGCAUUUAUGUGAUCAGUCACAUUCCAUUAUAUUAUGUAUCUUAGUAAGUAUUAUUCAGAUACCAUUGUUGAUCCGUUGCUCUGCUGUAAUCUUCCCUAACUUGGUGUUUCGGGAAUACAAUCGAAGAACUCCAAGCCAUGACGGGAAUUACCCAUGAUGUAUUGGAAUUCUGGUGCUGUAGCCCCAACCCAGAUUGGGAAAAGCUGGUCUGUAGUUGACUAAGCUAUAGCCUGUAAGAUUCUCUGCUCUACUCUGACUUCCAUCACCACCACUCAUAAGGGUCUUAUCACUGUGUAACUGCAUUUGGUACUGCUUUUCAGAGGAAGUAUGUCCUACCUUCUCAACUAAGCAUAGUGUAAUAAAACUCUAUGAAAAGUCUGAUAAAACUUUAAUAUGCAUGUUCAAUUGUACGGCUUAAAGGACUUUCUUUGAAAAAAGUUUACUAGAUAUAGAGGGUAGCUUGCUGUUUAGACUUGUCAGCAUCCAGUUUGAAAUAACUUGUCUUUUCUACCUUCCCAGUGGUGUAUGUUUGAUUUGUUACCUAGUGCUGGUGCUUUGUCAAAAGAUCCAGUAAGUAUCCUUAGGUAACAUCUGUGAUUUGAUGAUGAUGCAUCAAAUUCAGAAUCUGCUGGGAACUCUGGGAGGAAGGGUGGAGAAGUAGUAAAAGGGUUGGCAUUCUGACAGUGUGGAAAUACAGCCUUGCAAGAUGAUUUCUGCCAUUUUUUGUCUGCAGCAGAAUAGAGAGAUGUAAAAAUGAGGCCUACAUGAGGCACUUCUCUUACUUCCAAAUGAUGGAUGGGGAGAUAUGUUCAUAGGUUUAUAGUUGUUGUAGCUGAAAGAUAAAUUUGGAUGAAAAGCAGAAUAAGAAUAAGAAUCAAAGGGCUUAGGGUAGGUAAGCAAUGAAAAAUAAUGGGAAUGUCAUCUAUAGAAUAGUUAUACGGUAGUAUAGCAAUGAAGAUGCACUGUCACAACCCAGGGAUCCGAAAGGCCCCAGGAAAAGAGUUGUGGGUUCAGAAGAAUUGGAGUGAAAACUUUCUAACAUAGGAAAUUGCCUGUAUAAUCUUUUUGAGGCUUUUUUUUUGUAUCCCUUCACCAAAAUAUGGUUAUUGUUGACUUUCUUUGUGAUGGAACCCAAACUGCUGACUUUCUCCAUAUAGAAGUUAGAUUUAUACCUUCGUUAGUAGGAAAGCAAUUAACCCUUUUUCUUAGAUGGCUUUAAGAGAUUUUCACUAUAUUAACUCUUCCAGCUGUGGUUUCUUUUAUAUUUAACAUUUUCUUUGCAAAUUUCUUAAUUGUUUUAAAGUCAGGAUGCAGAACCUUUUUUACGCUAAAGGUUUCAAGCUAUAGUGGCUUUGCUUAAGAAAGGUGGAGCUAGAGAUCAAGAUGUAGCUUUUUAAAAUCUUAGUCUGGGAGCUGCCUGUGGCCAAAGUAACUUGUGAAUCUUGCUCUUAAGAGGCUUCAAAUAAAGUUCUCCUGAGUGUGGUUUGAAUCCUAAGGCCUUUUUCCCCCCUGCCUUGCUUGUUUUGCCAGAACCAGUAUUUUUUUCUUUGCAUCUUCUUUGGACUCAAACCAUAUCCUGCUAAGGCAACUGCUUGGCAUAGAACAUGGAGGAAGAUGGGUGUAUCUCUGAAACAAUUCUUCCAAAAUAUACUUUUUCUUGAAGUGGGGUCAUUUGUAUGGGUUCUGACUUGGUUUCUCUGAUCUCUUUCAGGAGAUGAUUUCCAUGGAAAAUAAUCCUUAUGACAAUCUUUGUAGGUAGAAUGUUGAUGUUACAGGUUGGGCCAGAUUUAUUAGAUGUGAAAUCCCUGACAUAAUGGUAAUGGUAAUGUAAUGGUCGUAAAAGGGCCUAGGAUGGACAUUAAAGAGGGUAAUGUAUUUGCAUUAUUACAGACCUUACAGUAAAAGUUAGUUGCAGUUUAUUAAAACACUUGGCAGGAAAAUGAUUGCAUAUCCUCCAAAUUACAAAUGUCUCAUUACAUUCAGACAGAGUAUCUAAAUAUUGUAUUGUUCCUUUUCAAAUAAAUAGAUACACAAGGUUUGUUACUGAGGGAAAAAUGGCCUAACAUCCAUAAUUUGGCAUUGGGGUAAAAUGCAGCACCUAGGCUGUUAACCAGUACAAGUUCCAGAAAUUAUAUAAUGCCUGUACUGAAAGAUCAGAACUAAUUGCCAGUUGCUUAACUGCACAAUUUAAGGUGUUACUAUUAAUGGCUUAAGACCUAAUUAAGGGGGACCAUUUCUCCCAUUAUGAACUUGUCCAGUUGUUAAGAUCUGAAGGUGAGCCAUGUUUUUCUGAGCCAUGAGAAAGGGCUUCCCCUGGGCUUCUUCCAGGCUACAAAAUACACAUCCCUGGGAGUAGCUUUUGCCUCUUCUACCCUCCUAGCUUUUAAAGAAUUGAAAAAUUUAUUUUGCCAGGCUUUAGUUUUUAACUGAUUUUAGCAUUAAUUUAUAUUUCUAACUUUUAAAAUGCUGCUUUAGUUGUUAGCCACCUUGAGCACAUGCCAGAGUAAGGCUAGGUCUAUAUUAACAAAAUAAAGAAAAACUACGCAGUAUUUUUGGUUGUAAUGCUAAGAACUGCUGAUCCAGAAGUAGCCAAGAUUGUUACAGGAGAAAAGAUGCAUUCUGCAUUCUUUCUAAUAGAAAAGUGUGUGUGUUGUAUGUUAGGGAGAGGACUCCUCUCCAAUUCCAAAGCUAAUUUUUGUGACUCCUCUCCUAUAGAAAAUAUAUAUUUGCACAUGUAAAACAGCCAGCCAGUCCUGCAGUCUUUUCUAUCCACAUUGAAUUAAGCAGAAUCUCUAAAUUACUGAUUCAGGAGUCGUAAGAUUUAUGUACGCUCCGUUUUUUUGUUUACCAUCCCUUUACCAAAGGGAAGUGAUUUCAGCUUACAUUUUCCAAAAAAGACUUGUUGAAUCUUGUAUCCUCCAAUUCACCAGAACAGUAUUUUCAAUGAUAGUUGGUUGCAUCUUUGGCUAUGAAGUAAUAUCAUUUUGAAAAAUAUCAAGUGAAAUACAUUGAUGUGGGAAUUAGCCCUUAUCAACUCUGUCCAUAUGGCAGCUCCAUGGCUCUGGCUUUUAUUGCAUUAAACAGGCUGCAUUGUUAACAGGACUGCUUAUUCUUGCUGAAGAUGAUAUAAUAGCAAUUGAAUGAAAUAGCCUUGAUCUGGGCUUGCUUCUUCAUUUAUGCUUGUUCCCUUCAGAAUGGGGAAGAGAAAAAGUCACAGUGGAAUAAUAGAUAAUAUAUCCAUCUUUAGUUUGCUGGCUAGAUCAACCAUUGCAUGUUUGUCUAGAUACAGCCAAUCCAGUACUACUUAGGUAAUGCUUUGCUAAUUUUAUGUUUUAUGUUUUACUUUUUUCCCCAGAUGUUGGCCUUGGGUUUUAUGACAGGUACCAUUGCUAGGUACUGCAUGAGGGAGUAAAUGAAAGCGCAUGCAUGAGACCAAGGCUGUAAUCCUUGCCAUGAUCAUCACUACAGUUAUAACAAACACUGUUGCUAUUUUCUUUUUCCAAACAAAGAGAAAUGUAAUUAACUGGAUCUUACCUAUCUUCUUCAGAUCUAUUGGGUCCAUAUGCUUUAUUCAGCCAUUUGUGCUAUCAUCUUUACCCUGUUCCUUGCUUAUGAUACUCGGUUGUUGUUGGGGAACAAGAGGUUUUCCAUCAGUCCUGAAGACUACAUUUAUGGGGCAAUCCAGAUCUAUGUAGAUAUCAUCUAUAUUUUCCUUUCUUUUUUAAGACUUGGGAGCAGAUGUUAGGGAAUUUUUUGUUGGCAACUUAAGGAACAUUGUUUUCAGAACAGAAGUAUCUUUGCCUUCCCCCAUAUGAAUCUGUUGUUUGCUUAAUACUGUCAUAACACAUUCUUACAAAUUUUGUUUCUGUAUUAUCAUUCCCAUUUUAUUGUAUUAUGUGAAAGCACUGUAUACUGUAUGAAAACUCAUUUUUGAGUAUAUGGGCUGAACCCAAAGUUCAGUAAACUUAAGUCCUCUGAAAGUAUUAUGAUACUGUCAAUGCAUGCCCUAGUGGCUUCAUUUGGAUUUAAUUAGAUUUUCCAGGUCCAAGCCUAAGUUUUACUGCAACAUCUGCAUCCAUGCCAGAGCUCUUACCUGUAACUAUUAAAAUUAGAAUAAUUCAUUCAUUCUUCCGUUAACAUAAAACAAUACAACUAGUAUAUUAAUAUAGCAUACAGCAUACAGCCAGAAUGUUACUGUAUUUCCCUCAUAGCACAUAUACAUUGGGAGGCUUGGUCAUAGCUAUGAUCUUAUUAGAAUUCUUAGAUUAGACCAAAGGCCCCUCUAGGCCAGGAUUCUGUUUCGCACAGUGGCUUCUUGGAUGCUGAUGACAGGGCUGUUGUGGUUUUUCAAUGACUAAUUUAGUUGCCAUUUUCUAUACCUUUCCAAGCCAUACAGUAUCAUUUUGGAAUACCCAGUUGUCGUGAUUGUAUGUUGCUUACCAGUCAUUCACAAUACUGCAGGCUGCCAGUCAGACAUGGAAUACAUUCUCAUGAAGAGAUUCUCUUUAUCAUGUAUGUAGAGAGUCAGAUAUUCCAGCCCCUUCCUUAGCUGGAGACAGAAGUUUGGUUCUUUUAAAACAAAAGGCAGCAGUUGCUAGACUAAGACUGUAAAUUGUAGAAUUUACCAUUUCCCCAGCAGCCUCCAAUUUAAAUGGAAUUUUUUUACCCACCCAGACUGGAAGAAGUCCAGGUAACUGAAGUAAAGGAAACAUGAAUGUCAAGAAUCUUUUAUUUCUUUAGAAAUAAAAAAAAAAAGUUCUAGCCAGGAACUUGCACAAGUUUUUGUGAUGUGUCCAAGUCUAAUGUUCUUUAUUUCUUUAUUUCUCUGUAAAAGUUAAAGAAUUUGGUUUCAUAUCAGCCUUGAAUCAUAUUGCAGGCAUGUGCAAAUAGAUAUACAUUUUCUUUACAAUUUCCUUGUGAUCUGUAAUAUAAAUUGGAAUCCCUCACAUAUCUCUAGUAGGGAUUCUACUAGAGCCUAGUAGGGAUCAUGCCAUUUGUGGCAGACCAGCAACUGGUUGUGGUCUAUCCAGAGCAUUUUAUUCCCUUCUGGACUCUUGUUUAAUUUGCCAGCUACUGUUUUCCUAUGGGUUUCUAAUUUGCCAAAAGUGAAUGCUUGUAUUUUAAUGUUUAAAAUUUCUUUUUACGCUUUUUAAUAAAACUUCAUUUUGUUUGUCUCUUAUUAUGAGGUUGGUUUGUCUCCCAAUAAGGAAGGGCUAAAUCCUCUAGCAACAUAAUUCUACACUGCACUGCCAGGAAGUUACUGUACUCUACUGAAAUUAUUUCCAGCUUUUGCAUCACAGGUUGUGAGAGACGUCUCUCAUACACAGACUGAAUUUAGGGGGUAGAAGGUGGGUGAUAAACCCUUUAGAAAACAGAUGAUGGCAGGAGUAACUUCUGAGACAAGGAUAGGAUAUGAAGAUCCAGAGGGCUUCUGGGUUGAGACCUCCAAUCUUCCAGCCUGCAGGCUCAGCCAUCCGUUAUACCAGUAUUGCAAAUGAAUUGCAUAGUAUUUUUGAUCUACAUAAUGCUGGCAUUUUUAUUUUCAAUUCCUUUCUUAAUGAUUGCCACAAUGUAGCUUGACUUUUUCAAGCUGCUGCUUUGAAAAAAGAGGAUAGCUACAGUCAUUCAGGAAAAGGGAAUCACAAUGAAUAAAUAACUAUAUGGUUGGCACUCCUCUUUAUCAUUGUGCUUUCUUCCCCAGAUUAAUUUUACAAGAAACCAUUAAGGUGCAAACCACCUUAGAUCUAUUUGUGUAGGUGCAAUUCCUCCAUGUUUUUGUUGUUUUUUAACAUGCACUGGCCUUAUAAGUUACGUAUGAUUUGUGAGGUGGGAGCUGCUCAGUUUACAUAUUACAAGCAUCAAACUAAGAGUAAUACAUUUUUAAGUGAAAAUCAUGCAUUUAAGAGUAUGGAUGUUUUGUGUAUGUGAAGAAAUAUGCCCAACUAAUGAGAAUAAAAUGCAUGUUUAAAUAGUGGGGAGAUUCUGAAUAUUUGCAUAAAGCUAUGCUAUUUAAUUAUUGCCUAGUUAUACUCCUGUAGUUCUAGAGAAGGCAGGUUCAGGACCAUAAGAUUGUUCAGAACAGACCUCUGAAGACAAAGGGUGACGUCUAUUCCUGGAGGAGUAGAUCUGUUGAUGACCCUCCUAAAAUCUGCACAUUUACCUUUAGGCAUUUCCACACAAACAGGGGUAAAGACAAAAGGGGGCCGAGCACCAGAGGUGUGUUCACAGGUGAAUUUUAGCUCCCAGACUAAA